This 327-nucleotide long non-coding RNA is filed under the name Manihot esculenta (cassava). RNAcentral describes it as "long non-coding RNA (MESC_LNC000974)". Lineage: Eukaryota; Viridiplantae; Streptophyta; Magnoliopsida; Malpighiales; Euphorbiaceae. The record is from RNAcentral.
GCUUAGAGACCAAAGAGUGGAUUUCUCCCCAUCUCCAAGUUAGGAUCGUCUUCCCUCUCGAUCUUCAAGAGGUAAGCUUAGAUCCUACCCCUCUUGUAUGUUUUAAACGAGUUUUAUGAAGUUUUAUGGGGUAGAAAUGCAUGUUUAGGUUAUUGUUGGUUUUAUGGUUAAUGUUAUGUUUUUGAGCAAUGUGGGUUGUUUGAUGUGUUGUAGUUGGGGUUUAGGAUAGUUUGAAGCCCCUAGGAGCUUAUAUGCUUGAGUUUGCAUGUUGUAGAAUAGGUAAAUGCAUGUUGAAUGAGUUGGGAGGCUUUUGUGCAUGUUAGAGGC